This is a long non-coding RNA of Prionailurus viverrinus (fishing cat), 690 nucleotides long. RefSeq lists it as uncharacterized. The transcript has 4 exons. Lineage: Eukaryota; Metazoa; Chordata; Mammalia; Carnivora; Felidae. The record is from RefSeq and is a predicted model, not a curated record.
CUGUUGUGGCCUCAGAGCUGUUGGUUUUCUUCUGCCUCGUCCACUUCUCCAGGCAGAAGUACAUCAGCGGUUGAUUUCCCCAGAGCAAGAAAAGAAGCAGUAAAAGAUUUGAAGGGAUACGUGGUAGUGAUGCAGGGAAACGUGCCUCGAAGCUGCAGAACUGUGGGCUGGUGGGGACACUGCUUCAUGACCAGUCACCAGUAAGAAAGGAGAAACAUGUUCCUGUAAAACAAAGUGCUUGCUCCACGGGUUAACCCUGGCAGCCUCUGGUGAAACCCCUUUAUUUAAAUAACCUUCCCUAAGCACCUGGUGCCUCUGUUGCUACGGGAAUCACUAGAAACUCCAUAGGGUGUAGGAAAACAUGACCUCCUUGAAAUUAGAGCAAAUGGCCACAAGGAGUCAUCUGGACGAGAAGAAAUGAUGGGUGCCUAAUAUGCCCUCUGAGACAAGUGGAAGUUGGAGGCACCAGACCCAGGCAGAGGUUCCAGGAUGCCAGGUCACAUUCGAGGUCUGGGAGGAGUAGUACCAGCUACAGAGCAUGAGGUCAGAGAGAUCCAACUAGAGCUCAGCAAACAACUCAAAUGGUGAGAGCAGAAGCCAGUGAGCACACAAAACAGCCUCCCCGCUGGCUGCAGACAUCCCUUGGCACAUGGAGAGGCUGAAGAAAAUCAGUCAUUUCAAUGUCCGGUG